GGGUCCGUGGUCUAGCGGUUAUGACGUCGCCCUUACAAGGCGAAUAUCACCAGUUCAAAUCUGGUCGGUCCCAC
This 74-nucleotide transfer RNA is filed under the name Marine Group II euryarchaeote MED-G33. Its description in RNAcentral is "tRNA-Val(tac)". It matches the Rfam family "tRNA". Rfam says of the family: Transfer RNA (tRNA) molecules are approximately 80 nucleotides in length. The record is from RNAcentral. Lineage: Archaea; Methanobacteriati; Thermoplasmatota; Candidatus Poseidoniia; Candidatus Poseidoniales.